This 108-nucleotide ribosomal RNA is filed under the name uncultured bacterium. RNAcentral's name for it is "partial 16S ribosomal RNA". It matches the Rfam family "Bacterial small subunit ribosomal RNA", at positions 1378 to 1482 of the family's 1533-position model. The record is from RNAcentral.
CCCUUGCACUCACCGCCCCGUCACAUCACCCGAGUCUGGUGCUCCCGAAGUCGCUGGCCGAACCCGUAAGGGACGGAGGCGCCGAAGGAGUGCCCGGUGAGGGGGGUG